RNAcentral lists this ribosomal RNA (279 nucleotides) under uncultured bacterium. Its description in RNAcentral is "partial 16S ribosomal RNA". It matches the Rfam family "Bacterial small subunit ribosomal RNA", at positions 506 to 784 of the family's 1533-position model. The record is from RNAcentral.
UGCCAGCCGCCGCGGUAAUACGGAGGGUGCAAGCGUUAAUCGGAAUUACUGGGCGUAAAGCGCGCGUAGGCGGUUUUGUAAGUCGGAUGUGAAAUCCCCGGGCUUAACCUGGGAACUGCACUCGAUACUGCAUAACUAGAGUAUGGUAGAGGGAAGUGGAAUUUCCGGUGUAGCGGUGAAAUGCGUAGAUAUCGGAAGGAACACCAGUGGCGAAGGCGACUUCCUGGGCCAAUACUGACGCUGAGAAACGAAAGCUAGGGUAGCGAAUGGGAUUAGAUA